GUACACAAAAAUGCACAUAUUGUGAGCUCGAUGAGUAGGGCGGGACACGUGGUAUCCUGUCUGAAUAUGGGGGGACCAUCCUCCAAGGCUAAAUACUCCUGACUGACCGAUAGUGAACCAGUACCGUGAGGGAAAGGCGAAAAGAACCCCGGCGAGGGGAGUGAAAAAGAACCUGAAACCGUGUACGUACAAGCAGUGGGAGCCUCUUUAUGGGGUGACUGCGUACCUUUUGUAUAAUGGGUCAGCGACUUAUAUUCUGUAGCAAGGUUAACCGAAUAGGGGAGCCGAAGGGAAACCGAGUCUUAACUGGGCGUUAAGUUGCAGGGUAUAGACCCGAAACCCGGUGAUCUAGCCAUGGGCAGGUUGAAGGUUGGGUAACACUAACUGGAGGACCGAACCGACUAAUGUUGAAAAAUUAGCGGAUGACUUGUGGCUGGGGGUGAAAGGCCAAUCAAACCGGGAGAUAGCUGGUUCUCCCCGAAAGCUAUUUAGGUAGCGCCUCGUGAAUUCAUCUCCGGGGGUAGAGCACUGUUUCGGCAAGGGGGUCAUCCCGACUUACCAACCCGAUGCAAACUGCGAAUACCGGAGAAUGUUAUCACGGGAGACACACGGCGGGUGCUAACGUCCGUCGUGAAGAGGGAAACAACCCAGACCGCCAGCUAAGGUCCCAAAGUCAUGGUUAAGUGGGAAACGAUGUGGGAAGGCCCAGACAGCCAGGAUGUUGGCUUAGAAGCAGCCAUCAUUUAAAGAAAGCGUAAUAGCUCACUGGUCGAGUCGGCCUGCGCGGAAGAUGUAACGGGGCUAAACCAUGCACCGAAGCUGCGGCAGCGACACUAUGUGUUGUUGGGUAGGGGAGCGUUCUGUAAGCCUGUGAAGGUGGCCUGUGAGGGUUGCUGGAGGUAUCAGAAGUGCGAAUGCUGACAUAAGUAACGAUAAAGCGGGUGAAAAGCCCGCUCGCCGGAAGACCAAGGGUUCCUGUCCAACGUUAAUCGGGGCAGGGUGAGUCGACCCCUAAGGCGAGGCCGAAAGGCGUAGUCGAUGGGAAACAGGUUAAUAUUCCUGUACUUGGUGUUACUGCGAAGGGGGGACGGAGAAGGCUAUGUUGGCCGGGCGACGGUUGUCCCGGUUUAAGCGUGUAGGCUGGUUUUCCAGGCAAAUCCGGAAAACC
Molecule: ribosomal RNA, 1168 nt
Filed under: Escherichia coli
Lineage: Bacteria; Pseudomonadati; Pseudomonadota; Gammaproteobacteria; Enterobacterales; Enterobacteriaceae
Description: partial 23S ribosomal RNA
Rfam family: Bacterial large subunit ribosomal RNA
Source: RNAcentral